ACGUGGCGUGUGCGACGAUUUCGCCGCAGGAUGGUUAUGCCGAUUUGUGGAUUAUACCGCUGGGUGACUUGAGUCAUUGUCAUGGCGUGUGCGACGAUUUCGCCGCCGGGUGGCUAAGUUAUGGAGCGCAGUAGGCUGUGGUUGGCUGAGGUGCAUGCGAGAGUUUCUUCACCUCGAGCCGGAUAGAGCGCGGAUUAUCCGCAGUUGAUUGACUCAAGAGCGAGUCGGGUGGCAUAGUGUGACUAAGGUAAGA
Molecule: long non-coding RNA, 253 nt
Filed under: Ananas comosus (pineapple)
Lineage: Eukaryota; Viridiplantae; Streptophyta; Magnoliopsida; Poales; Bromeliaceae
Description: long non-coding RNA (ACOM_LNC023122)
Source: RNAcentral